RNAcentral lists this ribosomal RNA (694 nucleotides) under uncultured bacterium. RNAcentral's name for it is "bacterial SSU rRNA". It matches the Rfam family "Bacterial small subunit ribosomal RNA", at positions 32 to 715 of the family's 1533-position model. The record is from RNAcentral.
AACGCUAGCUACAGGCUUAACACAUGCAAGUCGAGGGGCAGCAUGAACUUAGCUUGCUAAGUUUGAUGGCGACCGGCGCACGGGUGAGUAACACGUAUCCAACCUGCCGAUGACUCGGGGAUAGCCUUUCGAAAGAAAGAUUAAUACAAGAUGGCAUCAUGAGUCCGCAUGUUCACAUGAUUAAAGGUAUUCCGGUAGACGAUGGGGAUGCGUUCCAUUAGAUAGUAGGCGGGGUAACGGCCCACCUAGUCUUCGAUGGAUAGGGGUUCUGAGAGGAAGGUCCCCCACAUUGGAACUGAGACACGGUCCAAACUCCUACGGGAGGCAGCAGUGGGGAAUAUUGGUCAAUGGGCGAGAGCCUGAACCAGCCAAGUAGCGUGAAGGAUGACUGCCCUAUGGGUUGUAAACUUCUUUUAUAAAGGAAUAAAGUCGGGUAUGGAUACCUGUUUGCAUGUACUUUAUGAAUAAGGAUCGGCUAACUCCGUGCCAGCAGCCGCGGUAAUACGGAGGAUCCGAGCGUUAUCCGGAUUUAUUGGGUUUAAAGGGAGCGUAGAUGGAUGUUUAAGUCAGUUGUGAAAGUUUGCGGCUCAACCGUAAAAUUGCAGUUGAUACUGGAUAUCUUGAGUGCAGUUGAGGCAGGCGGAAUUCGUGGUGUAGCGGUGAAAUGCUUAGAUAUCACGAAGAACUCCGAUUG